Molecule: RNA transcript, 2539 nt
Organism: Mustela erminea (ermine)
Lineage: Eukaryota; Metazoa; Chordata; Mammalia; Carnivora; Mustelidae
Gene name: ADP-ribose pyrophosphatase, mitochondrial-like
Exons: 5
Source: RefSeq, a predicted model, not a curated record
UCUCUGGGGGCUCGGUUUCUUCCCGGCCUCCAGCUUCUCUGCUUGUAUUCUGUCCUCACGCAGGAUUCAAGUUGCCAUCCCAGAAGUGACCUUGCCGCAUGAUGCCUAAGAUCCCAGAUGACUCCCCUGGCCUCAAACCCCAAUUCCUUAGUCUCGGAUCCAUGGCUGGGCCUCCACCUGUCUCCCCUUCACUGCCCAACCCUCACCCCCAAAACCCUUGCCUGUAGACAACACCUUAGAUGCCUCUGUUCUUUCAAGACUGAUUUUGAUCCUGUUCUGUUCUCUGCCCAAACCCCAGAAAACCCCGAAGGUCCCUCAGCUUGUCAAACCCUCGUAGGCUCAGCUUGUCUAGCGUCUCCUACCAUCUCUGUGCCAUCUCCCCGAACCCCGUGCGGAAUCCACCUCUUGCGGUUGGCAUCAGUCUGGCUCAGUCAGGUGCCCACUCUGUGCCCCUACUAGUCUGCGGAUUCUUUAAAAACAAGAGCCUGGUUUCAGCAUGGCCCUGGGGAUGGGAGAGAUGAACACUGUAAGAAUAAAACCGUCACUGAGUGUCUGCAGCUCUGUCUGUACUGAAAAAAACUCAAGAGAGUCUCUAUCAAGAGGGUCUCCUGAUAGUCUGCAAACCUCAGAAAAAAGCAGACACUUCCAAAAACUGAAACUGCCCUCCAUUUCUGCCUGUGUCUUUGCGUUCUUCCCCACCACACUUAGCUAUGUGCCAUCUCUACUCAUAAUGGGUACUUGAUAACCCUUGGGGGAAUAAAACUGAGAUGUUCCUUAAGCUCAGGCUCAAGGUGAUUAAAGUGAGUAUGGUAAAUCAUGGAGGAAUAGACACGAAUGGCCAUGAACUCAUUCAUUUUACAGAUAAUUCCUAGGCUAAGAGUCCCUCAACUCUGAGUCAAACCCUGGGGAAGUAGACCCAGACCCUUCCUGACUCUUGGGAUGGCUAGAUUUCUUUCUCUCUUUAGAUUCACUGCUUCCAGUCCCACUGGGAAAGCUGUCUUUAAACUCUGAGGGUAAAUCCAAGUGAACGUUUUCAUUCCCAGGCAGUUCAACAGUGAUGAUUUAUUGCAACAAACUAGGUACAAAGGUGCUGAGAGAACUGGAAGUGCCACCAAAGGAAGGUGAGGCAAUCCUGAGAUUAGCAACUGCUGGAUGCACCUCCUCCCCUAGGGCUCAGGGGACAAAGGGAAGAAGCUGCCAGAACCAUGAAGGUCUUGCCCAGUGAGAGCUGGAGCCGUGAAGGAAGUAACAAUGACUGCCGGAGGUCCCUCCCAAAUCAGAGGAAUCCCCUGGUUUCUUCCUCCCACCCUCCAGGGCCACCCAGUGGUAGAAAGCAGAAGCCAGUGGACAAGACGACAGAGAGCAGGCAGGGGUCAGAGCAGAGUAGGAAAAGGAGGUGGAACAGAGAGCACGGUGGCAAGCCACUGGCAUUCCGAGCUUGGGCGAGGCACCUGCUUACCUCUGGGACUCUGGGAUUCUGCAGGAGCAGAACCAACUUUCUUUCUAAGCCCCAGAACUCCCUUCCUCCCUCUGUUCCCCUUUUGCACUUUUUGCUUCUAUUCUUCUUCUGUCCUCUUUUCUACUAUAAUUCCCUUAUAUUUCUUUUUUUUUCUCUCUUAUUCUCUAGUUCUCAUUUUUUUCUAACUGUUCUAGUAGACAGCCUCCUAACUUCUCUUUUCUCCCUGGAGUCUCUGCUCACCUCGGUUUGUCCUACUCCUUCCUGGGUAGGAUGAAGCCUUCUUCAGCAUGAACGAGAGGAGCAGAUUCCUAUGCUCCUGGCAUGCUGUAGCUAAUACUUCUUUGAAGAGAAAGAUGAAGCAAUUUGCCCACGCCAUUUGGCCCAGCAGCUGCCCCAACAUCUCCGCUGGUUGGAAUCCGCCUUCCUCAGGUGGGUUUCCUCCAAGCUUCAUCAUGUCAGAUUCAAAGGCUGCUGCUGAGAACCCCCACAAGAAGACCAGGACCUCUCCAUACCCUGGUUCCAAAGUGGAGGGAAGCCAGGUCCCGGACAAGAAGCCAUCAAAAGGAAGGACUGUGGAGAAUGGACCAUUCCAGGGGAAAUGGUGGAGCCAGGAGAGAAAAUUAGUACCAUACUGAAGACAGAAUUUGGGGAGGAAGCCAUGAACUCCUUAUAGAAAUCUAGAGCAAAGACUCCGGAGCUGGAGAAACAGCUGCACAAACUAUUCAAUCAGUAACACUUGGUGUCUAUAAAGGUUACAUGGAUGAUCCCCGCAACACAGAUAACUCGUGGAUGGAGACAGAGGCUGUGAACUACCACGAUGAUACAGGAUCUUUAGUUUUAUGGGAAAAGUUUCAUCUCUAUUUUACUUAUGAAUGAGCUAGAAAAAUAAGACGCAGCAACAAAAUGAGCUUAAUAUCCAGCCCUCUGGUUACAAGAACUAUUUCUGAACAGAAUGGACUAAGCUCAGGAUAUGUGUUUCCUCUCAUCUCAGAAGACUCAAUAAAUGUGAAUUUCUGUCAUAAAGAAGUCUUUGUCAGAAGAUGUAUGUAAAUCUCAGCCUAAUAAAAAUACAGUUCAUUU